UGUCUUGUUUGAUGAGAAACAGCUUUAAUCACUUAUUUUGGAACAUAAAACGGACUGGUCAUUUUCCUGGUAUGAACCGUGACUUUCGAAGCCUUUUAGAGCCUGUUUAGAGUGCUCGAAUAAUGUUGCGUUGAACUGAGAAAGUGUAGGCCUUUGAAAGAGCUUUCUGGAAUGAUAUGGUACAUAAUUUUUGGUUGAGAGACGAGGUCUGUAAGUUCAGUUUAGUAAACCAUGUUUUUCUGCGCUCUGUAUCUGCUAUCUCUGCCAGUGAACUUCAACGUGAUUUUUCACCUUGUUAAUGUGCCCAGAAAAUUCUUUGAUGAACUAGAAAGAGGUAAUUAGGAGGAGUAGUCUAUAGCCUUUAUUUCGAGUUGGAGUCCUUGCUCUGAUACGUAGCACUCGGGGGGGGGGGGGGGGGAAUGGACGCUUGUUUUCCUUCUGUUAUAAUUUGAAUUAAGUUGUUAUUUGAGAAGUUGUUUCUGUUUUAAGUUGUGGGCAAGAUACUAUGUUUUCUUUAAGUUUUAAAGACACUGGAUUCGCUGCAUAACUAUUUGUCAAAGUGAACUAGUUCAAAGACUAAUUAACUGUCACAAGAGCAUUUAAGUUUAUUUAUGAGUUCAUCUCAAAGUUUAUGUGCUAUGUAUCUGUUACAGGAGCAUUAUGAUAAUGUUUUAAGUGAUUAUGUAAUGCCCCAUGAGUGUUAGAAUU
This is a long non-coding RNA of Lotus japonicus, 708 nucleotides long. RefSeq lists it as uncharacterized. NCBI's taxonomy places the organism in Eukaryota, Viridiplantae, Streptophyta, Magnoliopsida, Fabales, Fabaceae. The record is from RefSeq and is a predicted model, not a curated record. The transcript has 2 exons.